AGCAUCACGCCGGAUGAACGGAAAUCAUUGAUGUUGAUUAUUAUGGGAAAUUAUUUUCUCUGGUGCUA
This 68-nucleotide transfer RNA is filed under the name Marshallena sp. MNHN IM 2013-9821. RNAcentral describes it as "tRNA-Ile". The record is from RNAcentral. Lineage: Eukaryota; Metazoa; Mollusca; Gastropoda; Neogastropoda; Horaiclavidae.